Molecule: ribosomal RNA, 466 nt
Filed under: Amphiops mater
Lineage: Eukaryota; Metazoa; Arthropoda; Insecta; Coleoptera; Hydrophilidae
Description: partial 16S ribosomal RNA
Source: RNAcentral
AUUAUAAAUUUUAAUCCAACAUCGAGGUCGCGAACUUCUUUAUUGAUAUGGACUCUCCAAAGAAAUUACGCUGUUAUCCCUAAGGUAAUUUAAUCUUAUAAUCACUAAUAAUGGAUCAAUAAAACAAUAAUUAUUGAAAUAAAAAAGAAAAAGUUAAUUUAAUUUUUCUAUCACCCCAACAAAAUAAAUUAAAUAUUCAAUAAAAUUUAAUUCCUAACAUAUAAUUAAAUAAAUAAAAUAUUAAACUCUAUAGGGUCUUCUCGUCUUUAAACAAAAUUUAAGCUUUUUAACUUAAAAAUAAAAUUGUAAUAAAAAUUACAUAAAGACAGAAUUUUUCUCAUUCCACCAUUCAUUCCAGUUCCUAAUUAAGAAACUAAUUAUUAUGCUACCUUGGCACAGUCAAAAUACUGCGGCCAUUAAAAUUUUUCGUUGGGCAGGUCAAACUUUAAAUCAUAAUCAAAAAGCG